GGGCGCAUAGCUCAGCUGGGAGAGCACCUGCCUUACAAGCAGGGGGUCAUAGGUUCGAGCCCUGUUGCGCCCACCA
RNAcentral lists this transfer RNA (76 nucleotides) under Brassicibacter thermophilus. Its description in RNAcentral is "tRNA-Val". It matches the Rfam family "tRNA". Rfam says of the family: Transfer RNA (tRNA) molecules are approximately 80 nucleotides in length. Lineage: Bacteria; Bacillati; Bacillota; Tissierellia; Tissierellales; Thermohalobacteraceae. The record is from RNAcentral. RNAcentral also lists the same sequence under 1 other name.